UGGGGAAUAUUGCACAAUGGGCGCAAGCCUGAUGCAGCCAUGCCGCGUGUGUGAAGAAGGCCUUCGGGUUGUAAAGCACUUUCAGCGGGGAGGAAGGCGAUAAGGUUAAUAACCUCAUCGAUUGACGUUACCCGCAGAAGAAGCACCGGCUAACUCCGUGCCAGCAGCCGCGGUAAUACGGAGGGUGCAAGCGCUAAUCGGAAUUACUGGGCGUAAAGCGCACGCAGGCGGUCUGUCAAGUCGGAUGUGAAAUCCCCGGGCUCAACCUGGGAACUGCUUUCAAAACUGGCAGGCUAGAGUCUUGUAGAGGGGGGUAGAAUUCCAGGUGUAGCGGUGAAAUGCGUAGGGAUCAGGAGGAAUACCGGUGGCGAAGGCGGCCCCCUGGACAAAGACUGACGCUCAGGUGCGAAAGCGUGGGGAGCAAACAGG
This 429-nucleotide ribosomal RNA is filed under the name Chloroflexota bacterium. RNAcentral's name for it is "Chloroflexi bacterium partial 16S ribosomal RNA". It matches the Rfam family "Bacterial small subunit ribosomal RNA", at positions 355 to 776 of the family's 1533-position model. The record is from RNAcentral. Lineage: Bacteria; Bacillati; Chloroflexota.